Molecule: RNA transcript, 4076 nt
Organism: Alligator mississippiensis (American alligator)
Lineage: Eukaryota; Metazoa; Chordata; Crocodylia; Alligatoridae
Gene: TSTD3
Gene name: thiosulfate sulfurtransferase like domain containing 3
Exons: 7
Source: RefSeq, a predicted model, not a curated record
GCUCCCCACAGGCGGGCGCCUGGGCGAUGCGGGGCUGCGGCGGGCUGCGCCGGGCCGUCUGGGCCGUGCUGGCCCCGCGCGGCCGCGGCAGCUGCAGGGGCCCUGCGGGGAGCACCCGCUGUCGCCCGCGGCUGGGGGCAGCGCCCGAUUUGAAGAGCAUAAAUGUGAUCUUUUAUAACCUUUCCACUACUGCUGAUCACAGUGUCUCCUACAAAGAACUCAAAGACCUCCUAAAAUCCCAAACCAUUCAUAUUGAUGUCCGAGAGAAAUGGGAAAUUGGCAAGUUUGGAAAAAUCCCUGGGUCCAUCAAUAUACCAUUGGGUGAAGUUGUGGAAGCUCUACGGAUGAACCCAGAAGACUUCAAAGAGCAGUACAAUCAAGAUAUGCCUGCUAAAUUGGACCACAUAGUCUUCUCCUGCAUGGCAGGAGUGAGAAGCAAGAGAGCAUUGGAUAUUGCCAUGUCUUUGGGUUUCAGCAGGGGGAACCAUGUCUUCUUUGGAUUCUCUUCCAUUUAUGUGCACUGAGAGGGAUUAUGGAUUUUAUACCUGUGUCCUCAACCAUUGUUGAGUGAUGAGAGUACAUGAAAAUGCAUACCUGAGGACCUCUGUCCUGAGAGACCUGAACCAGGAGCCACUGCUGAAGCUGCACAGAGCUGCUGAGCAUAUGCAGAUACAAAGGGACAGCCAUGGCGGCCAAGGCAGCCCAGCAGCUGCAGUCCGUGAAGAAGCUCGGUGAGGAAGCCCAUGGAGGGAGGGAAGAAGGGAGGGUCGCGCCGCAACCCAGCCCUGUGAAAGCAGAUGGCAGCGUCUGCCCGGGGCAGGGACGGGGAGCGAGCGGCCAGGGCUUGUCGCCGGGGUGGGCGCGGGGCUGCGGCCCGGAGCAGCGGCUGGAGGCCGAGAUGCCCCUUCCCUCGGAGGGCGGCCGCACAGGGUGAGUCGUCCCAGCGGGUCUGCCUCUUAACCUCACUUUGCAGGCGCGGCAGGAGCCCCGGCUUGCUUCACAUGGCCACGUGUGUGUGGGUGUGUGAGAGUGGGUGGGUGUGAGUGUGUGUGUGCGGGGGGGGGGGGUGCGGGCGCGCAGGCUUCUGUCAAAACAAGGCACUGAACAUGUGAUGGACCAGAUCUACAGUGCUGCUGCGUGUGUCCAUGUCUCCUGCUCAGUCCCAGACCUGGCUGCUGCUCUGAGGGACAUGCAGAUAGAGGAUGAAGGAAUUGCAGCCAAGAACCUGCAGGCACGGAGGAGUGGUACAAAACCAGAUUUCUUGAGCUUAGUCAAGCUUCCGCAGAACAUGCCGAGAAUGUGAGACAUUUCAGGGAAGAAAUAGGCAACUGCAAAAGAAGUGUAAGUGGAUUUGAAAACCCCUUCCAGCUCAUGUGAUGUCACUUCUAAUGGAGCCCUUUGUUAUGAUUUCACUAAAUUAGGUAAUGUGACAGUCGUCUGAGUUUUUUCCCCUAGUAAUGGUGGUCUUUUAGGCUAUAUUUUGCAGGGAGGGAGGUGGAUUGGAGGAAUGGUGACUCCAUAUAUGACCCCCUGUCAAAGUGCUAGUGAGCGCUCAUGAAUAAUACUUUUAUAUACGAAAUAAAACUUCGGCAGCUGAUUAAGUCCCAGGUCCGGAUAUACUGGUUAGAUCGAUGCAGAUCUUUCGGAGGGAGGGAGGGGGAAGAAGAACCAUGGCUUUAGGGAGAAAUUAGUUUGCAAUAGAACAGUCCUUCCUUCCUUUGCCUUAAUCUGGACGUAGUGUGGAAUGUAAUACAGAGUUUGGGGUCCUAUCGUUGGGCUAUAAAAGAACACUGUGAAGUAGUGACCACUAUUGAUCACUUACACUUCAGUUUACAAUAUACGGAUAGAUACUAUAAGGUAAAUGCGGGAGACUGAGGUGUUACUGCAAGUCGUAAUCUUACUCAUUGCUCCUCUUCUCUGAGGAUCCAGAUGAGAUAUUUUUAGACCGAAAAGUCCCCUCCCCAACCCGCACUUAGAAAUCAAUUAAAAAAAAAAAGGAAAGAUGGGCAAAAUUCCACCACAGUAGCUUCUCAGGAUUGUCGUUUCUGGGUCAGAGAUGCUCUUGCAAUUAACCCCACCUUCUCUCAUUAAGGCGUCUGCGGCUGAAACGUGUAUGCAGCACCUAGUUUCACAUCAAUUUAGGCUGUCUCAGGCUGUACGUGCGCCGGCCGGAGAGGAGCAUACUGCCUUUUUCCUGCGGCAGAGCUUGCACCUCGGGGAGCGGGGCCGGAUCCGGUAGGGCGGACAGGCGGGAGUCAGUGCAACGCAGCGCCUUCAUACUGAGCCUCAGCCUCUUAUUAGAUGCAACUUGUGUCCAAACACGGAGUAGGCCCUGGCUUGCCAUGCGUUAGGAUGUGUUGCACUGGGAUGCAGCAUCGUUACUCCUGACGCUGCGAUGGAAACUUCUCUCGUGCAUGCCUCAAACCAUCUCGGCAAAAAUAAAGACAGGAUUCCCGGGCGGAGGGGCUGGUGGGGAAAGGGAGAGCUUGGCUCUGCUGAAGUCAAGGGGAGCUUGUCCAUGACAUUCAGGAGGGUGGGGUGGAGGGGGGCAGGCUUUGUCCCUUAGAGUAAGCAGAUCGGUGAUUUUCUUGUCCCUUCUGUUUUUCUGAUACUGCAGAAACGGGGCCUGACGCCCUUCCAAACAGGCAUGCAGCACGCGUGGCUCAGCUCGAGGAAACCCAAGAGGAAUACAAGGGAGACACCGAAGGAUCACAGGUCAUCUUCAUCUUGUGAGGUUUCCCCAUCUCUUUGCGACUUCUGGACUAGACCAGUAUUAAACUGUAGGGAAAGAGGUCCCUACUUUGGCAAAAACAGUCGCUAGACACAGCAGCGACCUCUAAGCUCCUCAUUUAACUUGCGAGGGUGGACAAUUUCUUUCCUUCCUGCUUCAUCUUUUGCCAGGGUCUCCCCGUAGUUAGCAAUGUGUGUCUGCAGCCUGGCACGGGGUGGGAGGGGGCUGCCCCGUGGGAUCUGAUCCAAGGUACUCACCUUUGCAACCGGUUGCGGAUCUCUCCAAGUGAAAAUCAAUGCACUGCAAGAGAAAGUGCAAACAAGAGCACUGCCCUCCAUCUGCGGGCAUACCAACGAGGAGGUGGCUGUGGACACUAAGAUGGCCACGAACAAGUGAUGGGGCACAGAAAGAAGCGGUUUUAUAUAAGAUCCAUCCUCUUCCCCCACUCCCCACGUUGUGUUUCCGUUAGCUGUCGGUACUCUCUGGGCUGUAGGAAGCUGCUGUGAAAGGGGUGGGGGGGGGAGGUGGAGGGGGCUGUUCCAUGCAGGCCCAAGCAGCUCAGCACCAUUGAAAGCAUUUCCCAAGAGCAGGCUGUGGACACCACCCAGAGCACAACUGUGCUUAUCAGGUAAGGAGGCACUGCCAUGGGGACAGGGAAACGACAACAUCUCCUGACACUACCGGGGAUUCACAGCCGAGAGCAAUGUGGGGGGAGAUAAGCAUGUUGAUGCCCAUCUUGCUGGGGUCACCUGACCCCAGCGGUCUUUCCUGCCCAAGUGCAGGGGGGCUGGACCGGAUGAUCUGUAAGGUAGGUCCCUUCCUGCCCCUAAAUCUAUGAAACUAUGAAAUCAAUCAAUAGUCCACCGUGGGCCCGAUGUUAUAGAGUCCCCCGGAGGAAUCCAGUAGAUCCUGCACUGCAUUGGCUUGGAAGGGCUCCUGGUCCUGCAGCCCCAGCUGAGUUUGCAUCUCUGCUGCUGCCCGACCCAGACGAGACUGUGUCUGCACAGGACGGGCGGUAGCUGCACUUGGGUGUGUGUGUGUGUGUGUGUGUGUGUCCCAACGUUUGUCAUUCAACACGAAUAGUAUUUUCUCCUUUGAAUAGAUAACGCCCAAGUCCAGGAAGGCCCCUGGGAGAAGAUGCUGAGGCACAUCGCGGCGGCUGCUACUGAGAGCCGGGGGAAGGCAUCAAGACGGUCACUUGCUUGGCACGAUCUCCCAGGUGCUGGCCACAUGCUGCCAUCCUCCCAACUUCUGCGCCUUCAGCCAAACCUCAUUUCCCAGCCACGCCUGGUUUUCAGACCGGUUCUGUCGCUUUUGUUACAUUAAAUACAAUUACGAGCACACA